CUGGUCGAGUCGGCCUGCGCGGAAGAUGUAACGGGGCUAAACCAUGCACCGAAGCUGCGGCAGCGAACGUAUCACUUAAAGCGAUUCAGCGGGUUACGAUUGACGGAGCGAAGCGACGUCAAAGCGUAUACAAAGUCGAGUCGGUUUAAGGAUACGUUCGUUGGGUAGGGGAGCGUUCUGUAAGCCUGUGAAGGUGGCCUGUGAGGGUUGCUGGAGGUAUCAGAAGUGCGAAUGCUGACAUAAGUAACGAUAAAGCGGGUGAAAAGCCCGCUCGCCGGAAGACCAAGGGUUCCUGUCCAACGUUAAUCGGGGCAGGGUGAGUCGACCCCUAAGGCGAGGCCGAAAGGCGUAGUCGAUGGGAAACGGGUUAAUAUUCCCGUACUUGGUGUUACUGCGAAGGGGGGACGGAGAAGGCUAUGUUGGCCGGGCGACGGUUGUCCCGGUUUAAGCGUGUAGGCUGGUUUUCCAGGCAAAUCCGGUUCACUUUAACACUGAGGCGUGACGACGAGGCACUACGGUGCUGAAGCAACAAAUGCCCUGCUUCCAGGAAAAGCCUCUAAGCAUCAGGUAACAUCAAAUCGUACCCCAAACCGACACAGGUGGUCAGGUAGAGAAUACCAAGGCGCUUGAGAGAACUCGGGUGAAGGAACUAGGCAAAAUGGUGCCGUAACUUCGGGAGAAGGCACGCUGACACGUAGGUGAAGUGAUUUACUCAUGGAGCUGAAGUCAGUCGAAGAUACCAGCUGGCUGCAACUGUUUAUUAAAAACACAGCACUGUGCAAACACGAAAGUGGACGUAUACGGUGUGACGCCUGCCCGGUGCCGGAAGGUUAAUUGAUGGGGUCAGCGCAAGCGAAGCUCCUGAUCGAAGCCCCGGUAAACGGCGGCCGUAACUAUAACGGUCCUAAGGUAGCGAAAUUCCUUGUCGGGUAAGUUCCGACCUGCACGAAUGGCGUAAUGAUGGCCAGGCUGUCUCCACCCGAGACUCAGUGAAAUUGAACUCGCUGUGAAGAUGCAGUGUACCCGCGGCAAGACGGAAAGACCCCGUGAACCUUUACUAUAGCUUGACACUGAACAUUGAGCCUUGAUGUGUAGGAUAGGUGGGAGGCUUUGAAGUGUGGACGCCAGUCUGCAUGGAGCCGACCUUGAAAUACCACCCUUUAAUGUUUGAUGUUCUAACGUGGACCCGUAAUCCGGGUUGCGGACAGUGUCUGGUGGGUAGUUUGACUGGGGCGGUCUCCUCCUAAAGAGUAACGGAGGAGCACGAAGGUUGGCUAAUCCUGGUCGGACAUCAGGAGGUUAGUGCAAUGGCAUAAGCCAGCUUGACUGCGAGCGUGACGGCGCGAGCAGGUGCGAAAGCAGGUCAUAGUGAUCCGGUGGUUCUGAAUGGAAGGGCCAUCGCUCAACGGAUAAAAGGUACUCCGGGGAUAACAGGCUGAUACCGCCCAAGAGUUCAUAUCGACGGCGGUGUUUGGCACCUCGAUGUCGGCUCAUCACAUCCUGGGGCUGAAGUAGGUCCCAAGGGUAUGGCUGUUCGCCAUUUAAAGUGGUACGCGAGCUGGGUUUAGAACGUCGUGAGACAGUUCGGUCCCUAUCUGCCGUGGGCGCUGGAGAACUGAGGGGGGCUGCUCCUAGUACGAGAGGACCGGAGUGGACGCAUCACUGGUGUUCGGGUUGUCAUGCCAAUGGCACUGCCCGGUAGCUAAAUGCGGAAGAGAUAAGUGCUGAAAGCAUCUAAGCACGAAACUUGCCCCGAGAUGAGUUCUCCCUGAGACUUAGAGUCUCCUGAAGGAACGUUGAAGACGACGACGUUGAUAGGCCGGGUGUGUAAGCGCAGCGAUGCGUUGAGCUAACCGGUACUAAUGAACCGUGAGGCUUAACCUU
This 1884-nucleotide ribosomal RNA is filed under the name Salmonella enterica subsp. enterica serovar Senftenberg. RNAcentral's name for it is "bacterial LSU rRNA". It matches the Rfam family "Bacterial large subunit ribosomal RNA", at positions 1145 to 2925 of the family's 2925-position model. The record is from RNAcentral. Lineage: Bacteria; Pseudomonadati; Pseudomonadota; Gammaproteobacteria; Enterobacterales; Enterobacteriaceae.